AAUGUAUAAUGAUACAUGUCAUUUUCUUGUGCGAUGAUGUGACACUUAGGUGGAUAGUCAACUUUCAUAUAUAUGAUUUGUUU
Molecule: small RNA, 83 nt
Filed under: Arabidopsis thaliana (thale cress)
Lineage: Eukaryota; Viridiplantae; Streptophyta; Magnoliopsida; Brassicales; Brassicaceae
Description: ATSL019560
Source: RNAcentral